UGAUAGAGGCGCGGCCGCCAUCAGUAUCUGGAAGGCGAUAGUUUGGAAGACUGUCUUGCGGGGAAAGGGGCGUCCGCCGAAGAGACGGGAUGUUUCCAGGUCUUGUCUCUGGGACGCGGCAGAAGAUGCCGCGGACUGUCACAUUCGUGGAGCGCUAUCA
Molecule: non-coding RNA, 160 nt
Filed under: uncultured Massilistercora sp.
Lineage: Bacteria; Bacillati; Bacillota; Clostridia; Eubacteriales
Description: Lysine riboswitch
Rfam family: Lysine riboswitch aptamer
About the family: Riboswitches are metabolite binding domains within certain messenger RNAs that serve as precision sensors for their corresponding targets. Allosteric rearrangement of mRNA structure is mediated by ligand binding, and this results in modulation of gene expression.
Source: RNAcentral